CCAGGCUGUGGUGACGGGCCGGGCGGGAGUGGCUCCCACAGCCAGGGAGCUGCGUUGGGUGGGAGUGAGGAGUAAAUCCUUCCCUGUGAGGGUGCUGAGGAGCCGGGGCAGCCGCGGCAGUGCUCGAGGCCGGCCGGGCGGGUUCGGUCGCUGGGCUUUGCUCCCCGGCUUUGCUCCCUGCUGUGCUCCCUGGCUGAGCUCACCUGGCCGCAGGUGCCCACGGCACGUCCCGCCGCAGGUCCUCCUCCAUCAUCUCCGCCUGCAGCUCGAAGGCGUGCGCCAGGGUCUGCAGGCUGCAGUCCAGCUGCGCGAAGCGAGCCUCCAGGGACAGCAGCCUGCUUUCUACUCUGGGCGGUGGAAAACAAGAGUAAGGGAAUUUCAGAAGGAUCUUGGGCUUUCUGUCACGACAUUGCAUUGUGAACAGCUUCAGACCCCCUUCUAGGGGCCCUCCCAAGAUUUCUGGGAACACCACUAAAAGUCAAGCUGACCUGAAUGAAGAGAAAAUAAAAAUACCUCAACAGUGGCAUGUUUUACUAAGUAUCGCCGACCUUAAUUCAUUGUCUGGCCGCUUGUGCAGAUCCUUGUCUAAGGAUUUUCUGUUGUUUCCUGAGGCUAGAGGCUUCCUCUGCAGCCUGGUGGGGCUCAUCUUACUGUGGCAGGACUCCUCUGGCUUCAGCAAGAAUUUUGGGAUGAAAAUAAAACUUUUAUUGGAAACUAAGCUGGUGUCAUAUAGAAAUGCAGGGAGUUCAGAAAAACCGGAAGGAUUGAUGUGUCAUAAUUGGAUCGAAUCUGUCAGCACUGAGAGAGGAAGUGCAGAAACUGAGGUGAGUUGUUUCACUGUUUCUCCCUCUGGUCAGGUCUCCAAUAGCUACUUUUGUGUUCACCAUCGUGUGAAUCAGAGUUAAGAAGGCUGUGGAUGAACUAACAGUUAUGAGCAGUACCUCGACAAGAGCAGUUUCUUUCCAAGUCUGUCAGCUGUCUGUCAACACAUAAUCACUCAUUUCCUAAGCAGAAGUACUGCAUCCCAUCAGCUGUGAUACUCUCGACAGGGAUCCUUUUCACUGCAGACUCUGAGGCAUGAUCUUAAAAUCAGAAGUUCACCUGAAAUCUCUAAUUAGAACAGCAAGCCUGAAUUUAACAGAACCACAGAAUAUGCUGAGUUGGAUUCACAAGGAUCCAACUCCUGGCCCUGCACUCCUGUCCUCCCCAGCAAUCCCACCCUGUGCCUGAGAGCAUUGUCUGAAUGCUUCUUGAGCUCUGGGAGCUUUGGUGCUGUGACAUUCCCUGAGAAGCCUCUUCAGUGCCUGACCACGCUCUGGGAGAAGAACGCUUUCCUAAUAUCCAACCAAAACCUCCCCUUAUACAACUUAAGGCCAUUCCUUCAGGUCCUGUCACUGGGCACCACAGAGAUCAGUGUCUGUCCCUUCUCCCCCCUCAUGAAGAAGUUGUAAACCUCAACGAGGUCUCCCCUCAGUCUCCUCCAUGCUGAAUAGACCAAGUGCCCUCAUUGCCUGGUGACAAUUCAUGCAGCUGCAGGCCACAGAUGAUGGAGCAACUGCCCAAAUCCUGCAGCAAACUGC
Molecule: long non-coding RNA, 1580 nt
Organism: Taeniopygia guttata (zebra finch)
Lineage: Eukaryota; Metazoa; Chordata; Aves; Passeriformes; Estrildidae
Source: Ensembl